CGGGGGGUAAGCGUUGUUCGGAAUUACUGGGCGUAAAGGGCUCGUAGGCGGCCAACUAAGUCAUACGUGAAAUCCCUCAGCUUAACUGGGGAACUGCGUGUGAUACUGGAUGGCUUGGAUUUGGGAGAGGGAUGCGGAAUUCCAGGUGUAGCGGUGAAAUGCGUAGAUAUCUGGAGGAACACCGGUGGCGAAGGCGGCAUCCUGGACCAAUAUUGACGCGGAGGAGCGAAAGCCAGGGGAGCAAACGGGAUUAGAUACCCCGGUAGUCCUGGCCCUAAACGAUGAAUGCUUGGUGUAGCGGGUAUCGAUCCCUGCUGUGCCGAAGCUAACGCAUUAAGCAUUCCGCCUGGGGAGUACGGUCGCAAGGCUG
RNAcentral lists this ribosomal RNA (370 nucleotides) under uncultured organism. RNAcentral's name for it is "bacterial SSU rRNA". It matches the Rfam family "Bacterial small subunit ribosomal RNA", at positions 528 to 896 of the family's 1533-position model. The record is from RNAcentral.